UGAGGACUGGGGCGCCGACCAAUUGAUUUGGCACUUGGACGAGCGGAUGAACUGCAAAAGAAGCGGAGACCAAAGGCAGAUGAAAAAAGAGAGAAGAAAGAAAAGUGAAAAAUCCUGGAAAAUCAAAAGGUGCACAGGACUCUGAUGAUAUUUGCAACUUCACUCCAUUUGUCUGCGCUGACUUUUCCCGACUAAAAAUGGAAAUACGAAUGGCAACAAGGACGAGAGGGGAACAAGGACGUUAAGAUGUUUAUGGCUUGUCAAGGAUUAUUGUUAUCGCCAGCUAGCCAGAAUGCAUUGUACCUUGUGACUCCCCAGGGACCAGGACAUCCCCUUGAAAGCCAAAAUCCCAAAACAAAAACAGUAAACAGUCAACGGUAAACCGUAAACAACAAACAACAUCAUCUCACAUUUGAAACAGAUGACAGCACAGCAACACAUAAUUAAAGGCCUCCCGGAGGAGACCUUUCGCUGCUGGCUUUUGGUAGCUUUUUGGGUUUUGGUUUGGGUUCUGGUGCGGGUUCGGGUUCUGGUUCUGGUUCGAAUGUGACACAAAAAAAACCAUCUCAUACCCGAAAUCGGAAAAUUUUAAUCUGAAAUCCGGAUUCGGGAAUCAGGGGCCCGGAAACCACGCAGUCCUUUUUCUGGAAAUUACGGCCUAAAACAGAGUCUUUGCUCACAAGAGCAUGUAUGGCUAAUCGCUUAAGUUGUGGACGUUUCCAGAGCUUCCCAGGAGGCUCAUUAAAAUUAAAAUUAUAA
Long non-coding RNA from Drosophila bipectinata, 759 nucleotides. RefSeq lists it as uncharacterized. Lineage: Eukaryota; Metazoa; Arthropoda; Insecta; Diptera; Drosophilidae. The record is from RefSeq and is a predicted model, not a curated record.